AUUGAACUUCGUUUGUAGCGGCAUCCUUUUAUGAAGCGCAGCGCAAUAAAAGAUACAGCGUAUAGCAUGACCCGUA
This 76-nucleotide small RNA is filed under the name Flavobacterium glaciei. Its description in RNAcentral is "Flavo-1 RNA". The record is from RNAcentral. Lineage: Bacteria; Pseudomonadati; Bacteroidota; Flavobacteriia; Flavobacteriales; Flavobacteriaceae.